UCGGACAAGGAAGAGGCGUGACAAGGUCAAAGCUAACUGUUGUUAAUAUGUGUAAUAGCAAGAUCUCCAAGUUAGAAGAAGAGCAACAUAAUAUGAAGCUCAAAAUGACUGAAAUGAUGAAUCUACUUAAAGAACACUUGGUUGGUGGUAAAGUGACACCAAGCGAAGGACAGUCUCGCAAUGUACCGCAGUCAAAUAAUGUUCAGUCCCCUAAGAGUGUUGCACUAG
Humulus lupulus (European hop) is the source of this 228-nucleotide long non-coding RNA. RefSeq lists it as uncharacterized. Lineage: Eukaryota; Viridiplantae; Streptophyta; Magnoliopsida; Rosales; Cannabaceae. The transcript is spliced from 3 exons. The record is from RefSeq and is a predicted model, not a curated record.